CUAGCGACUUCAGAGUUUGAUCCUGGCUCAGGAUGAACGCUAGCUACAGGCUUAACACAUGCAAGUCGAGGGGCAGCAGGAGCAAAGCUUGCUUGCUUGCUGGCGACCGGCGCACGGGUGCGUAACGCGUAUCGAACCUGCCCUAUACUCGGGGAUAGCCUUGCGAAAGUAAGAUUAAUACCCGAUGUUGUUAUUACAUCGCAUGAUGUUUUAACCAAAGAUUUAUCGGUAUAGGAUGGCGAUGCGUGACAUUAGGUAGUAGGUGAGGUAACGGCUCACCUAGCCUACGAUGUCUAGGGGUUCUGAGAGGAAGGUCCCCCACACUGGAACUGAGACACGGUCCAG
This 345-nucleotide ribosomal RNA is filed under the name uncultured bacterium. Its description in RNAcentral is "bacterial SSU rRNA". It matches the Rfam family "Bacterial small subunit ribosomal RNA", at positions 1 to 334 of the family's 1533-position model. The record is from RNAcentral.